This 443-nucleotide ribosomal RNA is filed under the name uncultured bacterium. RNAcentral's name for it is "bacterial SSU rRNA". It matches the Rfam family "Bacterial small subunit ribosomal RNA", at positions 28 to 454 of the family's 1533-position model. The record is from RNAcentral.
GAUGAACGCUGGCGGCGUGCCUAACACAUGCAAGUCGAACGGAGCUGCUUUGAUGAAGUUUUCGGAUGGAUUUAAAACAGCUUAGUGGCGGACGGGUGAGUAACGCGUGGGUAACCUGCCUCACACUGGGGGAUAACAGUUAGAAAUAGCUGCUAAUACCGCAUAAGCGCACGGUUCCGCAUGGAACAGUGUGAAAAACUCCGGUGGUGUGAGAUGGACCCGCGUCUGAUUAGCCAGUUGGCGGGGUAACGGCCCACCAAAGCGACGAUCAGUAGCCGGCCUGAGAGGGUGAACGGCCACAUUGGGACUGAGACACGGCCCAAACUCCUACGGGAGGCAGCAGUGGGGAAUAUUGCACAAUGGGGGAAACCCUGAUGCAGCGACGCCGCGUGAGUGAAGAAGUAUUUCGGUAUGUAAAGCUCUAUCAGCAGGGAAGAAAGUGA